RNAcentral lists this ribosomal RNA (296 nucleotides) under uncultured bacterium. Its description in RNAcentral is "partial 16S ribosomal RNA". It matches the Rfam family "Bacterial small subunit ribosomal RNA", at positions 29 to 334 of the family's 1533-position model. The record is from RNAcentral.
AACGAACGCUGGCGGCGGGCUUAACACAUGCAAGUUGAACGGUAUUUGUAUGGUGCUUGCACUAGACAAAGAGAGUAGCGCACUGGUGAGUAACACGUGGGAACGUACCUUGAAGUGGGGAAUAGCGUCUGGAAACGGACGAUAAUACCGCAUAAUCCCUGAGGGGGAAAGAUUUAUCGCUUUAAGAACGGCCCGCGGAAGAUUAGGUAGUUGGUGGGGUAAAGGCCUACCAAGCCGACGAUCUAUAGCUGGUCUGAGAGGACGAUCAGCCACAUUGGAACUGAGACACGGUCCAA